CACAGUGUUGUAUCCCUUAUUGAAGUCACUUGUUCAAUAUACUUCAAAAUCGGUGUAGAUGAAGGGGAGGAGUCGGGUUAAAGGUGAAGGGGAGGAGUCGGGUUAAAGGUGAAGGGGAGGAGUCGGGUUAAAGGUGAAGGGGAGGAGUCGGGUUAACGGUGAAGGGGAGGAGACCGGGUUAACGGUGAAGGGGAGGAGACCGGGUUAACGGUGAAGGGGAGGAGACCGGGUUAAAGAUGAAGGGGAGGAGACCGGGUUAAAGAUGAAGGGGAGGAGACCGGGUUAACGGUGAAGGGGAGGAGACCGGGUUAAAAAUGAAGGGGAGGAGACCGGGUUAAAGAUGAAGGGGAGGAGACCGGGUUAAAGAUGAAGGGGAGGAGACCGGGUUAAAGAUGAAGGGGAGGAGACCGGGUUAAAGAUGAAGGGGAGGAGACCGGGUUAAAGAUGAAGGGGAGGAGACCGGGUUAAAGAUGAAGGGGAGGAGACCGGGUUAAAGAUGAAGGGGAGGAGACCGGGUUAAAGAUGAAGGGGAGGAGACCGGGUUAAAGAUGAAGGGGAGGAGACCGGGUUAAAGAUGAAGGGGAGGAGACCGGGUUAAAGAUGAAGGGGAGGAGACCGGGUUAAAGAUGAAGGGGAGGAGACCGGGUUAAAGAUGAAGGGGAGGAGACCGGGUUAAAGAUGAAGGGGAGGAGACCGGGUUAAAGAUGAAGGGGAGGAGACCGGGUUAAAGAUGAAGGGGAGGAGACCGGGUUAAAGAUGAAGGGGAGGAGACCGGGUUAAAGAUGAAGGGGAGGAGACCGGGUUAAAGAUGAAGGGGAGGAGACCGGGUUAAAGAUGAAGGGGAGGAGACCGGGUUAAAGAUGAAGGGGAGGAGACCGGGUUAAAGAUGAAGGGGAGGAGACCGGGUUAAAGAUGAAGGGGAGGAGACCGGGUUAAAGAUGAAGGGGAGGAGACCGGGUUAAAGAUGAAGGGGAGGAGACCGGGUUAAAGAUGAAGGGGAGGAGACCGGGUUAAAGAUGAAGGGGAGGAGACCGGGUUAAAGAUGAAGGGGAGGAGACCGGGUUAAAGAUGAAGGGGAGGAGACCGGGUUAAAGAUGAAGGGGAGGAGACCGGGUUAAAGAUGAAGGGGAGGAGACCGGGUUAAAGAUGAAGGGGAGGAGACCAGGUUAAAGAUGAAGGGGAGGAGACCAGGUUAAAGAUGAAUGCCGUUACAAUGUUAGCAAGGUGUUCUUAAUGUUUGGUAUAGUCAGUGUAUAUAGGGAUCCUAUAAUUCAGUUCCUACAUUUAAAAAAAUAUUAAAAAUGUCUCAUCACUAUUUGGCCAAAUUGCAAAAAUCAGAAGUAUGGGGUAUAGUUUUACAAUUUCUCUUCAUAACAUUUGAUUUAAAUCUAACCCUAACCUUUCCCACACCACUAACCACGCCUGACCUUAAAUGAAGGCCAAAAAAUAUAUUUAUUUUCAUAAAUUUUUACAAUCUAGACAUUUUUUGACUUUGUAGCUUGACCAUAUAGUGGGAAACCACUUCCUUGACCAUGACGGCAGGACACCAAAAUG
Long non-coding RNA from Oncorhynchus keta (chum salmon), 1554 nucleotides. RefSeq lists it as uncharacterized. Lineage: Eukaryota; Metazoa; Chordata; Actinopteri; Salmoniformes; Salmonidae. The transcript is spliced from 4 exons. The record is from RefSeq and is a predicted model, not a curated record.